Molecule: transfer RNA, 62 nt
Filed under: Cucujoidea sp. 27 KM-2017
Lineage: Eukaryota; Metazoa; Arthropoda; Insecta; Coleoptera
Description: tRNA-Ser
Source: RNAcentral
GGCCUUUGUGGUAAAUUGAACUGAUUUUGAAAAUAGGCUAUCCUCAAAUUUUCAAAAGGCUU